AGGGAAAGGUGAAAAGCACCCCGGAAGGGGAGUGAAACAGUUCCUGAAACCGUGUGCCUACAAGUAGUUAGAGCCCGUUAAUGGGUGAUAGCGUGCCUUUUGUAGAAUGAACCGGCGAGUUACGAUUUGUUGCAAGGUUAAGCGGAAAAAGCGGAGCCGUAGCGAAAGCGAGUCUGAAUAGGGCGCAUAAGUAACAGGUCGUAGACCCGAAACCAGGUGAUCUACCCAUGUCCAGGAUGAAGGUAAGGUAAUACUUACUGGAGGUCCGAACCCACGCACGUUGAAAAGUGCGGGGAUGAGGUGUGGGUAGCGGAGAAAUUCCAAUCGAACUUGGAGAUAGCUGGUUCUCUCCGAAAUAGCUUUAGGGCUAGCCUCGAGGUAAAGAGUCAUGGAGGUAGAGCACUGUUUGGACUAGGGGCCCUUCUCGGGUUACCGAAUUCAGAUAAACUCCGAAUGCCAUGUACUUAUACUCGGGAGUCAGACUGCGAGUGAUAAGAUCCGUAGUCGAAAGGGAAACAGCCCAGACCACCAGUUAAGGUCCCCAAAUAUAUGUUAAGUGGAAAAGGAUGUGGGGUUGCUUAGACAACCAGGAUGUUGGCUUAGAAGCAGCCACCAUUGAAAGAGUGCGUAAUAGCUCACUGGUCGAGUGACCCCGCGCCGAAAAUGUACCGGGGCUAAACAUAUUACCGAAACUGUGGAUGAACCUCUUUAGAGGUUCGUGGUAGGAGAGCGUUCUAAGGGCGGUGAAGUCAGACCGGAAGGACUGGUGGAGCGCUUAGAAGUGAGAAUGCCGGUAUGAGUAGCGAAAGAAGGGUGAGAAUCCCUUCCACCGAAUAUCUAAGGUUUCCUGAGGAAGGCUCGUCCGCUCAGGGUUAGUCGGGACCUAAGCCGAGGCCGAUAGGCGUAGGCGAUGGACAACAGGUAGAGAUUCCUGUACCAGUGCUAAUUGUUUAACCGAUGGGGUGACACAGAAGGAUAGGGAAUCGCACGAAUGGAAAUGUGCGUCCAAGCAGUGAGUGUGAGAAGUAGGCAAAUCCGCUUCUCGCGAAGCAUGAGCUGUGAUGGGGAAGGAAAUUAAGUACGGAAGUUCCUGAUUUCACGCUGUCAAGAAAAGCCUCUAGGAAGAGUAGUACUGCCCGUACCGCAAACCGACACAGGUAGAUGAGGAGAGAAUCCUAAGGUGAGCGAGAGAACUCUCGUUAAGGAACUCGGCAAAAUGACCCCGUAACUUCGGGAGAAGGGGUGCUCUAUUAGGGUGCAAGCCCGAGAGAGCCGCAGUGAAUAGGCCCAGGCGACUGUUUAGCAAAAACACAGGUCUCUGCAAAACCGUAAGGUGACGUAUAGGGGCUGACGCCUGCCCGGUGCUGGAAGGUUAAGAGGAGUGCUUAGCUUCGGCGAAGGUACGAAUUGAAGCCCCAGUAAACGGCGGCCGUAACUAUAACGGUCCUAAGGUAGCGAAAUUCCUUGUCGGGUAAGUUCCGACCCGCACGAAAGGCGCAACGAUCUGGGCACUGUCUCAACGAGAGACUCGGUGAAAUUAUAGUACCUGUGAAGAUGCAGGUUACCCGCGACAGGACGGAAAGACCCCGUGGAGCUUUACUGCAACCUGAUAUGGAAUGUUUGUACCGCUUGUACAGGAUAGGUAGGAGCCGAAGAGACGUGUGCGCUAGCAUACGAGGAGGCAAUGGUGGGAUACUACCCUGGCUGUAUGACCAUUCUAACCCGCCACGCUUAGCGCGUGGGGAGACAGUGUCAGGUGGGCAGUUUGACUGGGGCGGUCGCCUCCUAAAGAGUAACGGAGGCGCCCAAAGGUUCCCUCAGAAUGGAUGGAAAUCAUUCGCAGAGUGUAAAGGCACAAGGGAGCUUGACUGCGAGACUGACAAGUCGAGCAGGGACGAAAGUCGGGCUUAGUGAUCCGGUGGUUCCGCAUGGAAGGGCCAUCGCUCAACGGAUAAAAGCUACCCCGGGGAUAACAGGCUUAUCUCCCCCAAGAGUCCACAUCGAC
RNAcentral lists this ribosomal RNA (2005 nucleotides) under Listeria monocytogenes. RNAcentral's name for it is "partial 23S ribosomal RNA". It matches the Rfam family "Bacterial large subunit ribosomal RNA", at positions 506 to 2509 of the family's 2925-position model. Lineage: Bacteria; Bacillati; Bacillota; Bacilli; Caryophanales; Listeriaceae. The record is from RNAcentral.